AGAGGCGCAAAAGUCAAAAAUUCAGUCAAUAUUUGAUACUUUUUGACAAUAACAAAUUUUUUGUUUACUGUGAGAAAACUGAAUUAAAAUUUCCGGAUAUUAUGAUGAAAUUAAUUUAUAUUGUGAUGGACUUAUGAAAAUUUACGGUUAAUAUCAGCGGGAAAGUGUAAGUUCGGUCAGAAUAUCACAACCAGUGUUUUUUGCCCCAUGCCAAAGUUCCGUUAAUUUAUAAUUGAAACCUUUGUUUAUACCGAUAUAAAAUCGCGAAAUAUUCGUCGUUUGAAAUGUGUUUAGGCCAGAGAAGAAUUUAAAAGGGUUCGUCCAACGUGAUCCUGCAAAGGGAUUCUCUCUAGAAGAAAAUUAUUGGAUGGGGCUUGCUUUGCCCCCAGUUUCUUGCACUGGCUCCCACUUCAACCACCACCAUUACCCCGUUAAACUCAGAAGACCGACGAUAUUUUUGUGGA
Long non-coding RNA from Sitophilus oryzae (rice weevil), 464 nucleotides. RefSeq lists it as uncharacterized. The record is from RefSeq and is a predicted model, not a curated record. The transcript has 3 exons. Lineage: Eukaryota; Metazoa; Arthropoda; Insecta; Coleoptera; Curculionidae.